RNAcentral lists this ribosomal RNA (504 nucleotides) under Trigonotylus caelestialium. Its description in RNAcentral is "partial large subunit ribosomal RNA". It matches the Rfam family "Eukaryotic large subunit ribosomal RNA", at positions 755 to 1243 of the family's 3401-position model. The record is from RNAcentral. Lineage: Eukaryota; Metazoa; Arthropoda; Insecta; Hemiptera; Miridae.
GCACUCCCGGGGCGUCUCCAUCUCAUUGCGAGAAGAGGCGCACCCAGAGCGCACACGCUGAUACCCGAAAGAUGGUGAACUAUGCCUGGCCAGGACGAAGCCAGGGGAAACCCUGGUGGAGGUCCGCAGCGAUUCUGACGUGCAAAUCGAUCGUCGGAGCUGGGUUUAGGGGCGAAAGACCAAUCGAACCAUCUAGUAGCUGGUUCCCUCUGAAGUUUCCCUCAGGAUAGCUUGCGCUCAAAUGAAACGAGUCUCAUCCGGUAGAGCGAAUGAUUAGAGGCCUUGGGGUCGAAACGACCUCAACCUAUUCUCAAACUCCAAAUAGAUGAGAACCCCGGCUUUCUUGAACGUUGUUUAUGAAGCCGGGGGCUUGGAUCAGAGUGCCAAGUGGGCCAAUUUUGGUAAGCAGAACUGGCGCUGUGGGAUGAACCAAACGCGGAGUUAAGGCGCCUCAAUCGACGCUCAUGUGAAACCAUGAAAGGCGUUGGUUGCUUAAGACAGCAG